This 11594-nucleotide unclassified non-coding RNA is filed under the name Diabrotica virgifera virgifera (western corn rootworm). RNAcentral describes it as "sphingolipid delta(4)-desaturase DES1". The record is from RNAcentral. Lineage: Eukaryota; Metazoa; Arthropoda; Insecta; Coleoptera; Chrysomelidae.
AUACGAAUUGAUACGAAUACGAGUACGAGUACCGUCAGGUUGGUCAAUUCAGUAUUCAGAAUCGUAGAAUUUUGAAUUUUCCGUACGUGUACGAGAGUCGUGAGUGAAUCGUAUCGUAUCGUGGUAUCUGGUGGUAUCGUAUCCGGUCCGGUUAGCUAAGAAUGUGUCAAACAGGGAAGUUUUUAAAUUGUUGUUAAUUUAGAAGUUAAUUUUUUUAUUAAGUUUUACCUAAGUGCGAAAUUUUCAAAAAUGGGCCAACACGUAUCUAGAACAGAUUUCGAAUGGGUAUAUACCGAGGAACCUCACGCUAGCCGCAGGAAGCAAAUCUUAGAAAAAUAUCCCCAAAUCAAGAAACUCUUUGGAUACGAUCCGAACUUCAAAUGGGUCGUAACGAGCAUGGUACUUACACAAUUCGUACUGCUGUACUUACUCAAAGAUAGGUCAUGGCCAGUGCUAAUUUUAGUAGCGUAUUGCUUAGGAGGUGUCAUCAAUCACUCGUUAAUGUUGGCUAUACAUGAAAUUUCCCACAAUUUGGCGUUUGGACACGCACGGCCGUUGCACAACAAAUUAUUUGGAUUUUUUGCCAAUUUGCCAAUAGGAUUACCGAUUACUAUAAGCUUUAAGAAAUACCACUUGGAACACCACAGAUAUCAAGGUGACGAACAGAAAGAUACGGACAUCCCAACGUACAUAGAGGCCAAACUAUUUUGCACGACCUUUGGAAAAUUCAUUUGGGUGAUACUGCAACCGUUUUUCUACUCUUUCCGCCCACUCGUAGUUUAUCCGAAGCCGCCCACGCUUUUGGAAUUCGUAAACCUGGUAAUUCAACUCGCCUUCGAUGCUCUCGUUGUUUAUUUUUUCGGAGGAAGAAUGUUGGGAUAUCUCCUUAUUGGAUCUGUCAUGGCUAUGGGUCUUCAUCCGGUAGCGGGACACUUCAUCAGUGAACAUUACAUGUUCAAAAAGGGCUACGAAACGUACAGUUACUAUGGUCCCUUGAACUGGAUAACAUUUAACGUGGGGUACCAUAACGAACAUCACGAUUUUCCUGCUGUUCCUGGUUCAAGAUUACCAGAGGUAAAGAGGAUAGCACCGGAAUUCUACGACAACCUACCGCAGCACCACAGCUGGAGUGCAGUGUUAUACGACUUCGUGAUGGAUCCAGAUGUAGGACCUUACGCCAGAAUCAGGCGAAAAGCCAAAGGCCUAUCAACGUAAUUCCCAUCGACAAAACACCAAAUUACCUAUAAUUUUAUUGCUCGCGUCUCAUUAUGAUUGUCUGUGACAAAAUGAGACGAGGACAGUAAAAUCUUUUGCUUAUGUGUGGUUAAAAGUAGCCUUUAGUUGACUGUACAUAACCAGUGACUUAUGUCCUUUUUAAAUAUAGUUUAUUUAUAAUAUAAUACUUAUUUAAAAAUGUUAUUCUUUCUCCAACAUUGUGAUAUAUGUACAGUGCCUGUAAUUCGUGUGUAAAGAUUAUAAUUAUUUCUAAAAAAAAGUCGUUGAAAAAUAACAUCAAAAUUCUUUUUGUUUAUUUUCCUAUUGCCUCUUGCUCUGCCGUACACAUAUACAUAUAAUACCUAGAUUGCGCACUGCAAUCUAAAACUGUUUCCCCAGUGCGACAGAGAAGUGUUUGUAUUUAGGGUAGGCAUUUCUUUCUAAUCGACGUGUUUUAUCCAAUGGCAUGGAUAUAUCGACCAAGUGACUAAAUUUGAUAAACCCUCUUAGAAAGAGAAGACCCCAAAUACAAACAUUUUUCUCUGACGCAUGUAACGGGUAGUUCUUUCAAGAAAACAGACUCAGUAAAACACAGGUUAGAAUAAAAUAAAUAUAUUCAGGAUAUUUAUUGUACAGUUCAAAUUUAAGAAGAAUAAGAAAAAUCCUUUAUAAAAGGUAUACAAUUUUUUUAUUAAAAAUCCCUUUAAGGGCUACAUCACAACAAAACGUUUUCGAUUUUAUAAAAAAUCAUCAUCAGUGACAGAUUGAAUGCCAGCUGAGCCACCAAAGAAAUAUUCGGGUAAAAACACUUUAAAUAUAGUAUGGAUGCAUUAAAGGUGCAUACUUAAAUAAAAUGCCUUAGGAUGGAUACAUGGCAACAAGGAUAAUGCCCAUCUUGCUACGCUAAACUCAGCUUUGGAAAGAUAGUCGAAGUUAGUUAUGCAGUUUGAAAGAAAGUAUAGAAUAGAGAAGAAGGAAGGAAGAAGAAAAGAAUAGAGCACCGGCUAAGUAAGCUCGAAAAACAAGAGACUAAAAAGAAGGUGGGAUUCGAGAGCCAGAAAAAGGAAUAAAAUUAAAACAGAUUUCUUUCUGAAAUAAUUUGGGCGUGAAAGAAGGAGAGCUGGAAGAAUAACAGACAGAGAUCCUGAACAAACUAAAAUGGAGGGCGCGAGUCUUGCUCUUGGUUUAAAGUAGAGUUGCCAUUAAGUCAUUGGAAUGUAAACAACUCGAUUUGCAUCCCACGUGUUGGGAAAUUCAAUACCUUACCUAAGGGCAUUAUCCUUGUUGCCAUGUAUCCAUCCUAAGGCAUUUUAUUUAAGUAUGCACCUUUAAUGCAUCCAUAUUAUAUUUAAAGGGUUUUUACCCGAAUAUUUCUUUGGUGGCUCAGCUGGCAUCCAAUCUGUCUAACACUGAUGAUGAUUUUUUAUAAAAUCGUAAUCGUUUUGUUGUGAUGUAUGUAGCCCUUAAAGGGAUUUUUAAUAAAAAAUUUUAUACCUUUUACAAAAGAUUUUUUCCAAUUUUUGUGAUUGAUGGUAUACAGCCAACUACAGGAAAAAUUUUUCUUUUCCUUGUGGAUUUUUUUAAAAUAAUAAAAUAAAUCAUUCUAUCUUCGCCCCGUUCCGGAGCAAGCUACCUAUGCGGCUGUCUGCAAAAGAAAUAAAAUUUUAUUUAUAACUAUUAUCAAAAUUAUAAUAACACAGUACAUAUAUACAAUCGCAAUCUCGCUAUACGGAAUUAAUAUAAUUACACACUCAAACUCGUAGUCCCCAAUCAAACAUCGACCCAUCAGCCAGCUCUGGGCGGAAGUGGCGGCUACCGCUCGCUGCGGUUACGGUUCCGGCGGAACACCUCCUCACUACAGAGCGCAUGCACCUCGGCAGGUUCCAAUUCAUUCCAUUGCAUCUCUGCCGUUCGAGUUCUUCCGGGUUCACUACACCGAGAGGAACUGCUUUUAUGAUUUUCCUUUCUCGUCUUAAGUACACUCUCGGUAGCCAUCACUCCUUUGGUUUCGCCGGAGAGGUGGUAAAGUUUGUUUAGCAGUAAAUGGUUGACUUAAAAUAGUACCGGCUUAAACAUCCUGGGUUAACCGAUAAUAGUAUAAAAGGCCCGGUUUCAGGUAAAAUUUAAAUAUGUUUGAAUGUUUUUUUUCUAUAACCUUAGCAAUUAAAAUAUAUUUAAUUUAUUUUAAAACUCAUUUGAAAACAUUAAUUUCGGGUAUAUAAGGCAAAGCAUAUUUUACAUCCAUUUUUCUUUUGUUUUUGUCGUCAAAAUUAUUGUAAAUUUUGUGGAUCCUUUGUUUUAUUAUAGGAGUACCGUUUAAUUAGUGUUAAUUGUCAAAAGACCAACUCUGUCUACCUCGUUUGCUUAUCGCUUCGGACCGAUCUUAACAAUGGGCCAAGUCAGAUAAAUUUAAUAAUAUUUACGACCGCACUAAUUGAAGUCAACCAUUUACUGCUAAACAAACUUUACGUAGGGGGGCUGCGCCAAUAUGGAAACGCGUCGAUCUGCCCAACGCCGACUGCAGGCAUCAUAUCAUUACAGUCACUGGAAAACAAUUUAAAUUGCGCUCAGUCUAGGUAUUAUAUGUCUAUGCCCUCACAUAGCCAAUGUUCUAGCCUCAAAAUCUUUUACUGCUAAGUUGAGUUUUUAUUACAAGGUUUUCUGAAGCUUAUUCACAUGUGCCUUGAACUUUUUAUCCAUUUUUACAUCGUAGAUUGUGUAUUUUAAUAAAGUUUUUAUCUUCUAAUACACAGAAAAUAAAUAAAUUCUACUGUAGUUUUCUGUUGUACCUAAAACAUAGAAUAAAGACUUUUUAACCAAGUGAGACUGAAUGCCAAACAUUUUAGAAGCUAGUCUACUUAACAAGUGACGUUAUUCCUACACCGAUCAAAUAUGAAUAAUUUUGAAGAGCUUAUUUCCAAAAUGUCUUAAAUCCAUGAAAUGCUGAAACUCGGAAAUCAUAGAUUUUUAUGUAAAAAAAGUAGUCAAGAUGCAACUUUAGGAAGAGGUCUAAUAUUUCACAAAUUAUAUUAUCAAUAUUUAUACACAUAUACAGAAAUCUUGAGUCUUUCGUUAUUCACACAAAAAAUGUACGUCUGAAACACAAAUGCUUGCCGUUUACUCUAAGCAUCAACGAGGAAGCAGUCAUGAUUAGUCACGUGGCUUCUAAUGAGACCUGACCAGUGACCUGACAAAUCCCCACAUGCUCUGCCAUCUUUUUUUAAUAUGACAAGUGACAGAUGACGUUCAACGACUUAUUACUUGCAAUUAAUUUAAGAGAUAUAGAUUAUCUCAGGAUAGGUUUGUAUAAAAUACUCUAAAUAUAAAAGAUCUGACACUGUAUAUUAUUUAUUGUAAUUUAAAGGAAAUCUUUCAGAUAAUUUUUUGCGUAUGGGUUAUUUACGCACUGAAAUUUUUGAAAAAAUACCUGAAAACGCGUUAGUGAAUUGUAUGAUACUCUACUAUUCAUCAAUAGUCGAUGCUAGUAACAAAAUUUUGUUUUGAGUUAUUUUUUGUUGUUUUGAUAAAAUACUUUCCAAAAUAAAAUUUGAACUAAAUUUUCUAUUGACAGUAACGAAAUUCAUAUUACUGUAGCAAUUUCGUCUUCAUGCAACAAUGUUUUGCAACAAUCCGUUAGUUGGAGCAUUAUAUAAAAAAUUGUGCCAAUUUUCGGGGCUUUUCUUGAACUCCAGCUUGACAGCCAAGAAAAAGAGUGACACUACUUUUAUAGCUAACAAAUGCAAGCAAGCAUAAGCGCGGUAUAAUGACAAUGCUAACGAAUUAGUAGGCCCACUCUCGAUUUUGACAGUUCCAAUUUUGCAAUCACUCCUGAGACAAAAUUUUGAAUGCGCGACGAUAACCACCAAUCACGGCAAACGUAGUAUAACUGUCAUUCAUCUGCGCAAAGGAAUAAAAUUCUUAAUGAAUUCAGUGACAUUGUCACCAGAAUGGCACGGUUCUUAGACAUUAACUACGGUUGCCCAGAUCGACUAACCAAUUAACAUUAAUGCAGGGACGUAUUUAUAGUUUUUUAAUGGGGGGGAUCCUAAUUUCCAAAUUAAGUAAAACCGGGGCUUGGUUUUGAAAUACCUUUGAAAAAAAUAAUAAAAACAAAUUUCUAAAAAAUUUAUUAAAACUUAAAAGACCGUUUUACAAAAUUAAAUUCAUUCUCUUCCUUCUUUCAGCUAACUUAUUUACAAUUUCUGAGGAAUUUAGACCUAUUGUCACAUUCCGAUGAAUACUCAUGAGAGCUAAUCCUGUAAGCCUCUCGUCUCCCAUUCUAUUUCUAAAAUAAGUUUUUAACCGUUUAAGUGAUGAAAAAGUACGUUCAGGUGUGGCAGUAGAUACUGGAAGUGUUGCUAAAAUUUUAAGAAGUUUCCUAACCGUUGGAAAAAAAAUUUCAUCACAUCGGUCCAUAGCUUCCAGUGCAGUAGACGGCUGUUCUUGAUUGCACCAGUGGUUGUGCCAAAGCUCAUACUCACUUACUAAAUGUUUUAUUUCAACUUCCCUGAGAAAUAUUUCUCCGAUUCCUGCUAUACAUUUCUUUGCUCUCUCAGUAUUUUGGGUGCGAUCUGGUAGAAGCAACUGAAUUCCUGAAAUUGCUUCUUCGUGAGGUUUAAAGCGAGCAUCAAGCUCGGUCACUACAUGUUCUAUAAAUGGAUAAAAUAUAUUUCGCCGAUAGUAAACUUCAGCAGUGUCCCCUGGUAUAUUAUUGCGGUUUAAUUGUCUCCUACUUACUCUUGGAACAGUUAUAUCUGCUGAAAUUAAUUUUUUUGCUUCCUCAAAAAGAUUUGAGAAUUCACGUUCGUUACGAAGGUUCUGUAAAGUGGUUUUUAUUGUUUUUACGUAACUGCAAGAGUCGGUUAAAUCUACAUUGACUUUUUAUAGGGUUCGGUUUAAGCUUGACGUAUAGGAGAAAACCUUCCUUAAAAUAGUUAGUGAAACUAUAAAUUGACUGUUUUCAAUUGCGACUUGUAACUGGUAAGCUUAGCAAUUUCCCUUCCAGAUUCUUGAAGUUCUUGAAGCACGGAAUUUACUACAGGAAACAUCUCAGCAAAUCUUUCGACGGCUGUAUGUUUUUCUGUCCAGCGUGUCUCGCAAAGCGAGAUAAGCGUUGAAUGAGGUGCUCCAAUCUCGUCCGCAGUUCUUUUUAAAAGUCCAUCCCGGAGUGCAGAUUGCCGAAAGAAGUUAAUAGUUCCGAUGCAGUUUCGUAUUGCAGGGAUCUCGCAUGAAUGACCCAAAACUAAGUUUAAUGUGUGCGCCACACAGUGUACGAAUAGUGCUCGAGGAUAUUUGUCCAUGAUUAUUGUUCUUACUCCUUUAAAUCGUCCGCUCAUCACAGCCGCACCAUCAUAGCCCUGGCCAACUAAAUUCUCCAAAUCUAAUCCAAACGACUUAAGUUUAUCGAUGAUUAUCGUAGCUAGAGCUGAUCCUGUUACUUCAUCAACGUGGAUAAAUUCAAUGAAAUCCUCUCGAAUAAGUGCCUUUCCAGAAGAGCAGUCUACAUACCGAAGGCAAAGUGAGAGUUGUUGGUGACGCGAAAUGUCUCGAGUUUCGUCGGCAAGUACAGCAAAGAAACCUGAUUGUUUCACUCUAUUUAUUAUUUGCUCCUGAAUAGCAUUUCCACACAAAUCAAUAAUUUCAUUUUGAAUGACGGACGAUGUGUACAUAGCCCGAGAAUGAUUGCUUUGAGAAAUAAGGUGAUUUUUAAGUACUUCAUCACCAGCUUGCGCACGAAAACGAAGUAGUGCACGAAAAUUACCGUCAUUAUGUAGAGGAUCUAUAAUACCGAUUUCACCAGAGUCUUGAUUUCCUCUCAAAGGCAAUUCCUGCCGUCCGCAAAAUAAGAUUGUGUCCACUAUGGCACAUAGCCUUUCUCUAUUUUCUCGGGCAAUUUUUUUAUUUUCUUUAUUAAACGACUCUGUAAUAUCACGAGUUUGACCUUCCAUAACGCUUACAAAAUUUCUUGCCCGUUCAACAGCAUAUUUAUGAUAAUUUGUAGUUCGAUGAUGUUCCAUUUUUUCCAGUUAUUAAAUGGUUUUGUGACAAAACUUCCAAGUUUUUGAUCACCGCGACCACCUUCGGUCUGUCCAAAUAAAACGCACAUUUUGCAUAAUGAUCCUUGUAACAUAUUUGAAUAUACUAACCAUGGAUUCUUUUGGGUCCAAUGACGUUGAAAACAAAGUUUCCUUUUACCACAGACGGGGAACUUAAAAGUCUCUGGAGAGGUCAAAGUUUCUUUUAAAACUGUUAAUUUUUCUUCGUCAUUUUUUGGAUUAUUUGAUAAAUAUUUACCAAAAUCGUAGUCCAUACCAGAAUCCAGAUCAGCUAAAAAAAUGCUUUAAAAUGGUGAGAAAUUAAAAAUAAAGUAACUUACCAUGGCUUGUUUCUCUGUUUCUAUCUGAGGUGGAGGGAGUUGGAGCAUCCCCAUCUGUACUAAUAUCCAUACUCGGCGUAGUUAGGAUUUUAUCGUUUUGAGGGUUCAGUUCAUCAUUAGUUUUCCCCUUCUUUGGAAAAAAUCCCAAAAGCGACUGCUGUAAAGUUCGUUUCAUACUUCUUUCACUAAAACAUUAAUAUUAAGCAAUAUCCAAAUAAUAAUUAUUAUAUUAUCUAUUUAUACGUAACGACACUGUAGAUACUUACACAAACACCACAAAAAUUUCGACAAAUACAACAGUUUACUGAAUUUGUACUUGUACAAUAGCAACAAAAUAAAGAAAACAAUACACAAAUCCACAUAUGCACCGGCCGGCCGACAAACAAGACUGGCACUAGACAGCACUAGACUGCGACUCAUAUAUAACCACCGUUCAGUAAUAGAAUAAGUUGGGUCACUCUCGACUUAGCGCCGGUUUACCUGCCCCCGUCGUCUCACGCCCCGUACCUACCAAAUUCUCUCCAGUCAGUCCUCUCAAAAUUUCUAUCGUUCAGGCACCGUUCAGUGUAUUUGCGGAGCGUUCAAUAUAAUUUAUGACUACCGGCAAAAAAUCUUUCGGCGAGAGCCGAGAUCAAAAGAGUGAACCUACUAUUUGGAAUAUGUGUACGGUGAUAUAACUACUGAUAGCGUUCUAAUUCUAAUAGGUAUUAGUUUAUCUGUAUCUACGCUGCUACUGCGGACCGACAGCAUCCGUGCGCUGACUCAUUAAUUUAUUUUUAUUUUUUAUAGAUGUAAUGAUAUUGGAUUAAAAGUAAUAGUUUUGCAUGGACUGCAAGGAGGGGGUUUGAACCCCCUAAACCCCCCGCAUGAAUACGUCCCUGCAUUAAUGUAAUAUACUGUAAUUUGAAUCGUAAUCUGAUUAAUCGGUAUUUUUAUGUCUUUGAUGUAUGAAAAAUAGUCAAGAUAGUUAAGAAAUAAAGAUGUUUAGUGAAUUAUAAUACCUAAUUAUGGAAAACUGUUAAUAUUUAUCCAACGGUUAAUGCAAUAUUUACGGAAAUCUAGGACUUCAAUCUCCAUUCUACACUGAAAAUUUGUCGCUGAAUAUCCAUUAAUACUGCAUUAACUAUUGAAUACAUACCAUCCUUAGAGGCCAGCUAGGAUUAUGUGAAUUAUAAUUACUUGUAUAAUUUAUUGUAAGAAUUUAAAUAAUAGGUAAUAAAUUUGGCCACACUACAGUCUGUACCUAGCAUUCUAAAAUGUCAUGAACAUUAUUAUUACGUUAAUACAUAAUGAAAUUUUAACGUUUUAACCUACCUUAUAAAUAUAUAUUAUUAUUUAAGCUCCUACAAUAGGUACAAUGUGCAACUACAUAUAAUAAAUAACUUCAUGAAUAAUUCAAAAUAAAUUUUUACGCGAAACAACACCAAAAUUACAAAUACAAAAAUAUAAAUUUAACUAGGAUGUAUUAAAAGAUAAUUAAUAACACAAAUAAUACACAUACAUACACAAUAAUACACAUUCAAUGAUCGAAAAUCAUUUAAACAUAUGGGAUGGUGUAUUCUUGUGACGUAAAGUCAAAAAUAUAAAAAUGUAUAAACAUUUUCAAUGUCUUUGCAACACGAAAAUGCAGCAGCUGCAUAAUGCUCUGGUUAAAUCGGAGAGUGCAGGAAGAGUCUAUACCGGUUUCGGAGGUCUUUUCCCCCUCAUCAGUAGUCCCAUAUCCUCUUCUCUCCGAUUUCCCCAGGCAUCACACUUUGGGCCUUUCCGUAUUGCAAAGAAAGAAAUGUCACGGAUGAACUAGAGUUAUCUACCGAAAAACAAAGUAAGUUAUCAAUCGAAGUAGCACAGAAAACGACAAUAAAUAUCGUUCCCGAAAAUUUUAAGUCUUAAUUUCCUCGGUAUCCUGUAUGGUUUAUAAAUUUUGAAAAUCUCAGGAGGUGUAACCAAAGAAAGUAUUCCACCUGUUGUCGAUCUGGUGGUAUGGGAACGAUAUUUAUUGUCGCUUUCUGUGCUACUUCGAUUGAUAACUUACUUUGUUAAAAAUAUAAGUCUCCCCACCACCGUCGGACAAGACAACCGUAGUAAAUGUCUAAUAACCGUGCCAAAAUGGAACAUAUUUUUCGCGGAGUGUCCCUACUGAUUCGUUAGCGUUAUACUGUGGCAUAAGUCUGUCUCACCUGUUACUCCCCGUUAUACCACUAUUUUACUAUCUUUCGACCAAUGAAUGUUGUAGGUAGUAGACUAAGAGCCGCUAUAGGUGAAAUUUCUUAAUCAUUUUAGGCACGAUGGGACCCUAUAACUUAAAUAGUAGAACCUAAAAGAAAACGUUUGAACACUGUGCCGUCACUUUUCAGUGGCACAUGCGUCGACAGUGGCGCAUCAAACUUUCCACUUAUGGACGGGAUAAGUAAAUUAAAAGUUAACAGAACUUACUAACAGAAUUAAAUUUUUUUUAUUUUUUUAAGUUCUAUGUGAUUAACACAUAGGAUUCAUCGUGAUUUUAACCCACCACCCCCUUCCCCUGCCCCCCCCAUCAAAAACUUCAUUUUUCGUUUUUAUUUUUUUUUUGGUGGGAUGCAAUCAAUUUUAAAAUUUCAAAAAAUUCACACGCAUAGUUGAGGCUUUUAUAAAACAUGCCUAUUUUUUAUAGACCCAUAGGUAGAGUGUACGUAACCUCAAAAAAUUAAAAGAAAUUUUUUUUCAAAAAAGCGUAUACCUUUAUUUGAGGAAUAGCUGCCGGUCUAAUUUUUUCUUAAUCUUGUGUGUUUUAUCAAACACUAUAUUUUAAAUUUUUUUCAGAUUUUUCCGUAAGUCUCCCCACCUUCAAAAAUCCGAAAAACUGUUUUUUGGGGGGUUUUGGGGGAUUUUCCCUAUUUUAUAGACUUCAUAAUAUAUCAAAUCAAUUUUGUUUUUAUAGGUUAUAUGUAACUUGAAGUAACUGAGUUCUUUAGAAUAUUUAAAAAUCAGAAAAACACGUUCAAACCCCCCAAAACCCCCUUAAAAAACAGUUUUUUGGAUUUUUGAAGGUGACCAACGUUACAGAAAAUUCUGAAAAAAAUUAGAAAUAUAGUGUUUGAUAAAAUACACAAGACUAAGAAAAAAUUAGAUCUGCAGCUAUCCCCAAAAAAAAGUUAUAUACUUUUUUUUUCAAAAAAAAUUUUUUUAAAUUUUUUUGAGGUUAUGUACACUCAACCUACAGGUCUAUAAAAAAUAGACGUGUUGUAUAAAACCCUUAACUAUGCGUGUAAAUUUUUUGAAAUUUUAAAAUUGAUUGCAUCCCACCAAAAAAAAAUAAAAUCGAAAAAUAAAGUUUUUGAUGGUGGGAGAAGGGGGUGGUGGGUUAAAAUUACGAUGAAUCUUAUGUGUUAAUCACAUAAAACUUAAAAAAUGAAAAAAAUUAAAUUCUGGUAAUUAGGGAGGGUAUUUUUUAAUUUAUGUAUCCCGUCCAUAAGUGGAAAGUUUGAUGCGCCACUGUAGACGCAUGUGCCACUGAAAAGUGACGGCACAGUGUUCAAACGUUUUCUUUUAGGUUCUACUAUUUAAGUUAUAGGGUCCCGUCGUGCCUAAAAUGAUUAAGAAUUUUCACCUAUAGCGGCUCUUAGUCUAUAGAUGAUCAUGUAUUUUUGCAUUGCUCGCUUGUUAGUGUAAUUUUUUGACACUUGUUUCAUUAUUGUUGUCCAGUGCUUAACUAUUCUACAAUUUAAAAAAUAUUUUUAAUCGUCUUCAACUGAAAGCUACUUUACACCGAAAAAUGCUGUGAAAUUAUAUGUAUAUUAUUUAUUGUGAUUUAAAAGCAUGUUAUCAGUUAGGUAAUUUUAUGUGAAAUUGAUAUGUCAAAUAUAAUGGAGCACUUAUUGUUUUGAUAAAAAUUAAAAUGCUUACCUGGAUACUCGAAUGUUUAAGAUGAGUUACGUAAUUUUUUCAGUCAAAUUGUUACAUUGUUUCAAGAACAUAAUAUUAUAUUUUUUCAAGGAAAAGAAAAAUAAAUAGCGGGUAACAAUCA